Long non-coding RNA from Brassica rapa (field mustard), 8621 nucleotides. RefSeq lists it as uncharacterized. NCBI's taxonomy places the organism in Eukaryota, Viridiplantae, Streptophyta, Magnoliopsida, Brassicales, Brassicaceae. The record is from RefSeq and is a predicted model, not a curated record.
UAAUAUAUAUAUAUAUAUAUAUAUAUAUAUAUAUCAGCCAUAUUAGUAAUUACGUAGCUUUUAUUUAAGGUAAAAAAAAGAAAAUACUAAUUGUACACUUUUAAUUAAUUUUAUUAUUAGUUUGAUGAAAAUAUAAUAUAUACUUAGAUGAACCAAUAUAUUUUUCUAAGAAUUUUGAAAAUCAUCUUGGUGAUGAUAAGUGGCUACAUUCAAAAGUUGUAAUGCUCCUCAAUUAAUAUAUAAAUGAUGUUUUGAAAAUUUUGGUUAACGAUAUAGUACUAUGAAGUUCAUUUACAGUUUGCAUGAUCUAUAUCCUUUAUUUGAAAUAUAUUUUACACUGAAAUAUAUUUUAAAUUUUUUUUGAAACUGUGCAAUGUCAAAAUUUUACAAAGGAAUUACGUUCCAUGUCUCGUUCAUUACUAAUGUUGCAAACUAAUGUAACUAAUGUAAACCGGACAGUAUAACCAAACGAUUUUUUGCUACAGUAUAACUUCUUUAAAUUAAUACUCUAUAAAUUAAUAUAUACUAAAAAUGUCUAUAAAAUAAUACAAUUUUCUAGUCCCAAAAUUAAAAUUUUGGUUCAAUUAGUAUAUCCAUAAAUUAAUAUCUCUAUAAAUUAAUAAAAAAAUUAUAGUUUUGGUGUAGUCCCAACAUUAUUGAUUUAUAGAGGUUUCACUGUAUUUUGUUUCAUAGCUUAAGUUAUGCUUAAUAAUACAACAAUUACAUUUUCCUACUAUAGUGAAACUAACGAAAACUAACGCAAUGUUCAAAAAUCCCCCUAUAUAUUAAAUGAGAAGUCACUUUAGUGAUUUCUCGUGACGUAUCAUUCAUAUGUGAAGUUUCAAGAAAUUGUUAUAAUUCGAUUGGUCGAUUAUUCUUAAUAUUUAUUUAUUUAAUUUAGAUAAAAAAAUUUAAGGGAAGUAUAAAAUCAUUUAACAUCAGUUGCUAUAUAAUCUAAAGAAUUUUACAAAUAACCAUUUAUGGAAAUUAAUUCUCAAAAUUAUAGAAAGAUUAAUAAUAUUUUAUUUAUUAGUUUUAAUAUUUAUAAACUAUAAUAUAGUGAACGUAAUUUUAUAUAAGAUAAUUAUAAUAGUUUUAUACUCUACUUGAUGAAUUGUAUUCGAAUAUAAUUAUAUACUUACUAUUUUAAAAAUUACAAAAUCCAAACAUGUUUAUUAAUAUUAUUUUUAAAUUAUUUAUCGUUGUUUAAAGAAUAAAUUUAUCAGAAUUUUAAAAUAAUUUAUAAAAAUAUAAAACUAUUAUAUAUUGAUUGAAAAGUCACAUAAGUAAUUUUUAAUUAUGUGUCGAUCAUAAAUAAACUCUUCAAAUUGUUAUAAUUUGAUUGACCGAUAACUUUUAAUUUUAAUUAUUAUAAUUAUAACUAAAAGGAAAUGAUAAUUCAAUUACCACUCUCCAAAUAAUCUACAUAAUUUUAGAAAUAAUUAUAUAUGGUAACUAAUUGUUGAAACUAUGAAAUAGUAAUAAUGUGAUCAAUUUUUUUAUAUAUUUAUAAAUUACAUAAAUAAAAAACAAAAAUGUUUAUUUAAAUUGAUAUAAUGAUUUUAUAUUCGUAUAGAAAACCUUAUAUUUUUAUAUAAUGUAUCGUAAUAACUAUUAAUGUCUAAUAAAUUUCAUGCAUGCUUUAUAAAUCGUUUAUAAAAUUAUGAAUAAAUUUAUAAAAUUAUUUAUAUUGGCUUAUCAGAUGUUUACAUAUCAUUAAACCUUUUCUUAACUCCAUCCUCUUUCCUCCUCUGAAAACCCAUCUUCUUAAACUUCAGCUGAAUCCAAACGUCUUUAACGCCAUUGUUAAACGUCUUUGAACUUUGAUGUGUUCAUCAAAGUUAUUGAGGGUCGUUUUCAGUAACCGAGAAUGCCAAUCGAUGAUUACGAGAAUUCUGCGAAAUCAAGCCUAAGAAAAAAAAAACGUGGUAUUUCAUAUAAUACCUUUUUCUGGCAUGCUCUGUUUCUUUUAAAGCAUCUAAGUACUUUGUUCCGUAUACCCAACAAAGGGGUUUGGUUUUAUCUUGAAGAACUGGAACAAUGCUCUUUGGGAAGAGUAUUUCAUCUUAUGCGACAAGUUUGAUUCUGCAAGUAAUUUACUUUAUUUGGUGUCACUAAUUUGUACAAUACGAUUUUCUUUUAUAUACCAGUCUUAAACUUUUAACCCACAUAAUUCCAUAUAAAUAGUGAGAAAGAAUCUAAAACAUUAAUGGGUUUUAAUAUGAUUCCUAUAAUGAUAACUUUUUGAAAUUGAAGUAUAAAAGGUGAAAAUUUUGAAGUUCAGUUGUGGUUUAAGAGAUAUGUUUAAAUGUUCUCUUGGAGUAUAUAUAUAAUCGUAUACCAAAUGUUUAUGUUCUGGAACAGAUAAUCAAAUCUGUAUUGGUUUUGGUGAGGGAGCUGGUGGACCAGAGGAGGGAGAUAUGCAAAAGACUGCCAUGGGUGAAGCCUCUGCUUAAAGAGCAGUUCUUUGUUCACUGCAAGUUUCAUGUACUCUCACAAGGGUGAUUGCAAUAUGUAUUACUUAGACUGCACCAGUGGCGAGCUUUGCUCUCUUUGUCUUUUCCAUCGCAAAGACCAUCCAAUCCAAGUGCGUUCUUGCUAUAAUUUUAAUUAAAUUUUUGGUUGGUUGUGCUCUUUGGUUUAGGUUUUGAAUUUGUAUUGAUUGGUUUUGGCAGAUAGGUAGAUCUUUAGGUCUAUAUAUCAAUAGCUUGCCACAAUGCUUGGAUCCAUAGCUAUUCCAUGCAGGUCUGACUCCUUAAAAAUAUCCCUUCAAAAGUUCUGAUUAUGUUUCUUACCAUCUAUCUAAUAAUCUAAAUUUUUUUUAAUACAAUCUGAUUUGAUCAAUGGAUUCUACUUGCAACAUCUUUCUCAUAUGUGUUUUGAUGAUUUUAUCAUUUAGUUGCUUAGUUUUUUUGUUUAAACUUGGUCAAUAGCAGCUUCUUCUGCGAUCAUAAGCUAAAGUUAUGACCUUAUGUGAUUUACUUUUUUUUCGCGUUCUUUUCAGUGUGUCCAUAUGAUGAAGGAAAAUUGAAUAUGGAUCUUGAGGUUUGAAUGAUAAGUGUCUGCAUUCAGCUUGGUUUUGAGAACCAAUCAGACACUGUCAUACUUCUGUGCAAAUGUCUUCGUCAAGAUAUCAGUAGGAGAUGGAUCACAAAGGAGGACAAGGAAUCUGAAGUUUGGCAGUAUAAUCUAGGAUGAUGCAAAGGAUCUUUCUGAUUUUGUUCUCUUUCUUCUCUUAACAUGUUAGUCGGAUAACGUCGUUCCUAUGAUGAGUAUUGUAUGAUUAUAAGUGAUAACAUUUACUUGGGAUAAUGUUUUUUUCCUUCUCGCUUUAUACUUUCUGUAAAGUUAUGACGUUCAGUUGUACCAAGUACCAACUACGGAAGAUGUUAAAAGGAAGGAGUGGUGUGGUAGAUGUCAUGAAUAACAACCUUAAUAGAACUCAUAGUUGUAACGCAAACCCAAAUCUAAUAGCCAAUACCUACAAAACUUAACAUUCGAUUAAACUACUAAAAUCUGGUAGUAUAAGAAGAUAAGAGCUCCACAAUUGUCUUAAUCAAAUAAUAUAUAAUACAUAUUAAUUAUUGAAAAAAUAUUACUUAAAAUUUUGCAUGAAAUAAAUACAAUGAUAGAAAAAACUAUAAUAAUAUACUAAAACAAAUAACAAAAAAAAAAUCCACGGCAUCAUAAACUACUUUACCACUUAAAUUAUUUGUCGGUCUCUUUAGGUUCUAUUAUUUAUGACUCUAAACUUUGAUUUGGGUUUAUACAGUAAUAUUAUUCUUACUAUAGUCAACUAGGAAAUUGAAAAAUAGAUUUGAUUCAUCCGCCAAUUUAUUUUUCUAAGUUCAUAUAUGGUCAAUAAUUGUAUCCCAACUUUAACUUAUAAAAAAAUAGAAUGGCGAGAGGUUUGAGAUCAAACAUUAAAAUCGAUGUGCCGUUAACCAAUACUACAAAACUCUGCACACAUGAAAUUAGCCAUGUGUUUACCCGUAACUGAAGAAUCGAACCUUACCAAAUAAAGAGCAAAAUCGAAACUAAAUCAGAUUUCAUAAAUCAUCUAUAUUUCUAUAUAUCAUGUAUUCUAUAUUUUUUCUAAAACUAAAAUAUCAGAACCAAACCAGAACCAAACUAGAACCGAACCAAAAUCAAUAAGUACCUCAAUUUGAAAUAUAAUUUACAAAUCGAAAAUAUUAAAUAAACUUAGUUUUACAGUAACAAAUAUCAUAAACUUAUUAUUUAUAAACUGAACUAUCCAAAAUGAAUUAUAUGAAUACCAUUUCCCUAAAUUAUUUAAAAUUAUAUAAGCAACCUGAUAAUUUAUCCAAAAAACUUAAAUCACAACCUGUUAUUUUCCUGGCAAAAACCAAUUUAUCCAUAAAAUUUACUCAAAUUAACCAAAAUAAUCUGAAAUACCCGUAACCGAAAGGGACCCGAUUUUUUUUUGAUAUUAGCUGGUUCCCCACUUUGUUGUCCUAACUGAACCAAAAAACAAAAUAUCUGAACAAGAAUUGAAUCAAAUUUUAUAAAUAACCGAACAUAUCUUAUAUCUGUAGACUUAAAAAAUAAAAUAAAUCCAAAAAAAAGAUUAUAAAAAAGUUUGAAAAAAGAAGAAAGAGAAAGGAUAAAAAAAGAAAGAGAGCAAGAGUGGUACCUCUCGGUAGAGCUUUCAUACCUUUCUAAAGAAUCAGUGAAUAACUGAAUACAUGUGGGAUUAUUUUACAGGUUGUUUUUAUUUUAAUUUUUAAAAUAUUUAAUAACUAAAUUAUGUACAAAAAUAAUAAUAAAAAUAUUAGUGAGGUACUCUACUUGCUAUUUUACCACUAAUGAUGCCCUAACAAUACGAUCUCAGAAUUCUAUUCAUUAUUGUUUUUUAUAAUAUAGGUUUCAAUCCGCCAUAGUUUUUGAAUGCUUCAUAAAAUUAAUAUAAACUUAUAUAAAAAUUACUUUAUAUUUUCUUAUGAAGUAUCUAAAAAUUAUUAUAGAUAAAAAAUAUUCUAAACAAACAAAUAAUGAGAAAAAUAUGGGAUCAUAAUAAUAAAUUUUUUUUUGAAUUAUAACGACAGUAACCUUCAUUGUUCUUUGAUAAGUAACAUUAUAUUUUUAAUAUUUCUUUUAGUUUCAAAUAAUAAGUUUUAUAUUAUAUAGUAAUCAUUAUUCAUUAUUAUAAAUAUGCACAUUACAAUAUAUAUAUAUAUAUAUAUAUAUAGAAGAAUUAUUGUCAAAGAAGAGUUAUGUUUAUGAACAUAAAUCCACUAAUAUAUUUUAUCUUAUAAAUUAUUCGAAUUGUGAAAUAAAUUUUCUACUACAAAAAUAACAUUAAAACUCAUGUAACACAACUAAUGUACACAAAACUAAUGUACACAAAAUAAUUUUAUAAGAUAGAAUAUGUUAUUCUACUAAAAUUAAUAUCUCCGUCUUAAUUUUUUUUGCUCGACAUGUGUAAAAAUAAUUAUAUUUGCAUUCUUUAAAUAUUCCUUAUUAAGGUUUUACUUUGUUACUCCCUUUCAUUAAGAUCACUUUUAAUAAAAAUAAUCAGAAUAAUACGGUUGUAUUAUUCAAAGUUCAAUACUCAAAUAUUCAUGAAUAUUGUAUAAUUUCUAAACAAUUAAUGUUCUAAACUAUCAACAAUUCAGAAAAAGAGUGUCUGGAUUUACUUCAUCCUUACUCAACUUUAUCUAAUAUCAAUUUUCUAUUUACUAUUUAAAAUUCAUUUAUUCUACAUAGUUUAUUUCUUAUUAAACUGAAACAAAUAGCUAAAAGUAUUAUUUUAGAGGUAACAACAAACUCAGAGGUGGUCGGUUGGAAUUUUACAGAAGGUAAUUACGUAAUUAUCUUGGAAAGUUUGAAACUACUAAACAUUUUAAUAGUACACUCUUUCACCACACCACAAAAAAUCAUAGAACCACGAAUCUUAAUGUCAAAGUGGAUGGAAUUACUUUAUCACUACUCAAUCUAAUAUGAUCAUAAUUAUAAUGAUUAUUUUCCUCUCAAAAUUUACUGAAUAUACAGAAUUCAUCUACGUAUACAGCAAAAACUUAAAUACUAUAUAUGAGUUGAAACAAAUAGAAAUAGUUUUUUUUUAUCAUAAUGAAACUGACUGUCAAAUAACUCCUAACCAAAACAUAACGAAACUGAAACAAAGAUAAUCAAAGACUAACUGCAGAGUAAUAAGAAACAUUAUUUAGACCCAACAUAUGAAACCAUAACUACUGGAAUUUCAUUUCAAACAUGCACUAUCUUAGCCGCAUUGGUAGAUGAGUGGAUCCUCUUCUUAGGCGCAUGAUCAUCUGCCUUCUCAUCAGCAUCCUUAACUGCAUCACUGCUGCCCUCUCCAGUUUCAACCUGAACAGGAACUGGAAUACCAUCUGGAUUGUCGUCAUCAUCAGCAUUGUCUCCUCCCUAGUCCAUUCGGAGAGUUUUAAAGAUUAUUAAAAUAACUCUUACAUCGACGACAAAGAUUAUUAAUAGAUAAUCAAAGACUAAUAAAGUCAUUCUUACAUGACAUGUGAAGCAAAGAUUUGUAUUCAUAAAUUAAUUUUAAUUGUAGAGCCUUUUUUCAUUAAAUUCUAUUUUAUACAAACCUAACUGGAUUACUCUUGAAUGCUAUAAAAAAAUCCAAUCUAACUGAAUCAGUCUUGAAUGCUGCUCCAAAACUAAAUUUUCCGGAAGAAGUGAAGUAUUCUUGUAUUAGUUCACUGAAAAAAAUCAACCUAAUAUGGAAAGUAUUUACAUUUUUUUCCUAUGAGAAGAUUUUAAUUCUCUUUUUUGUAAUUAAGGGUCAUAUUGUGAAUGAGUUUUAAUUCCUAACUAAUAUUUUCACCAAGAAAGAGUUUAAAUUUUUAAGGUCAAACUAUCUCAGAGUUUGGACCUUAAGUGAAUAGCAAUAAUGCUCUCAAAGCUUUCAUCAUUGUGUAAAAUUUUUAAUGGUUUUUGUGAUUCAGAUUCGUCAAAGCAAUCACUCAGUUUGAUAUUUGAUAAAUAUCUUCCAAAUUUUGUACCUUCCGCGAUCACUCAGUUUAAUAUUUGAUAAAUUUCUUCCAAAUUUUAUACCUUCUGCAACUACUCAGUUUGAUACUUGAUAGAUUUCUUCCUUAUUAUAUAUCUUCUUAGUAUGAUGAAAUUGAUGUUUGCUUCCACAACCUCUACGAAGUCCUCGAAGUUGACUCAACUUUCUUAUUAAUUAUAUAAUGGCUUCCAUUAGGACUGACCGACUGAGUACAUUACUUUCUUUAUGUUCAGUUGUAAUAAACUAAGAGAUUUCUGGCAAAUAAUAAAAGGAUUGCAUAACACCAAAAGAUUAAAGGUCUCUACGUAACAAAGCAAAUAUCAUCGUUACAUCAAGAGUAGAACAUUUCGGAUGGUGGCCAACAACGGACACCAACAAAAGAGGCAUUUGAACAAUAAAAAUCUUAGGAAUACACAAAAGGCUUCCCUUUUUUUCCCAACAGUGCAAGAGUUCCAUAAAUAUUUUUUUCAGAGCAUGUUAAAGACUUUUCUUGACCUAUCCAUUUGCAUGUGACGACCAGCCAUAUAUCAAAGAAUGCCUCAAGAAUUCUGUGAUUAUAAUUGUACUUCGUAUCUUGAUUUGCGGAUGUUUCUAUAAGUAUGAUGAAACUGAUCACAGUCUUCUCCACCAGAAGAAUCGUAGCUAUCAUCAUCAUGAAUUGUUGUUGGUGCUGUCCUCUCUUCAGACCCAUCAAACCAACAGCUGAAGAAAACCCAUUGAGCUGCACCGACCCUUAUGCUUCAGACAACACUCUAUAAAAGGGUGAAUGUCGUGUGAUUCUAAGCUGCUCUUGCGUCUAGCUGAAGAGGAGCUAGCCCUGAGUUACUCUUGUCUGAACAUUCAUCAGAGGUUCUUCUGGUAACCGUAUGCGCUUGGUUUGCUUUCCCUGUUUCCCGUUACUGUUAACAGCUUCAAAUUUUGCUGGGAACAUUAUAAGGCCAAUACUUCUUGCUUGUGACCCAACAAACGGAUGUUCCUUCCUUGCCACAGGCUAGAUAAUUUUGAAUUUCUUCCUUGCUUCUGCUGCUGCCUUUGAAACUUCUUCUGCAUUGUAACGCGAAAGAGAACAUGGACUGAUCUUCACAGGUUGUGUCUUGUCUUCUGAACCAAAUCGCCAGAAGAGAAUCGGACAGCCUGAAGUUCUUAUUGCACGGAACCACAUCAAACCUUCUCAGUGUUAACAUUUAAUCAGCCGUCAGACGUUUCCUGAAAGUGGCGGUGAACAUUUAAUGUGGCUGGCAUGAUGGUUACCUUAAAAACUGUGAAAAAAUAUUAAGCAUCAACAAACAGUUCCGUAAUAUACCAUUCAAAGAUACUCUAUGAAAAUCAAAAUUAUUUAUGUAUCUAUUAAAAUUUUAAUCUCACCCUUCAAAUCUUAAUCAUAAGUUUAAACUAAUGAACCAUAGAGUUAUAAGUGUCUUUAAAAAGAGAGGGUAAAUGUGGUUAAGAUAAAAAUAAAAAACGGUAUUAUGAAUGUGGUAGUUCAGGCAAUUUUUGAGAGAAUCCCCCCCCACCCCUUUUAGUUUAGUUAUUAAAGUCCGUAAAUUUAAUAAACAAUUAUGAAAAACACAUCCAAUAACUAAUUCAUGAUUAAAACAUAGAUUCUAAAAAA